UGGUUUGUCGCGUUGUUCGUGAAAUCUCACGGCUUAACUGUGAGCGUGCGGGCGAUACGGGCAGACUUGAGUACUGCAGGGGAGACUGGAAUUCCUGGUGUAGCGGUGGAAUGCGCAGAUAUCAGGAGGAACACCGGUGGCGAAGGCGGGUCUCUGGGCAGUAACUGACGCUGAGGAGCGAAAGCGUGGGGAGCGAACAGGAUUAGAUACCCUGGUAGUCCACGCCGUAAACGGUGGGUACUAGGUGUGGGUUUCCUUCCUUGGGAUCCGUGCCGUAGCUAACGCAUUAAGUACCCCGCCUGGGGAGUACGGCCGCAAGGCUAAAACUCAAAGAAAUUGACGGGGGCCCGCACAAGCGGCGGAGCAUGUGGAUUAAUUCGAUGCAACGCGAAGAACCUUACCUGGGUUUGACAUGCACAGGACGCCGGCAGAGAUGUCGGUUCCCUUGUGGCCUGUGUGCAGGUGGUGCAUGGCUGUCGUCAGCUCGUGUCGUGAGAUGUUGGGUUAAGUCCCGCAACGAGCGCAACCCUUGUCUCAUGUUGCCAGCGGGUAAUGCCGGGGACUCGUGAGAGACUGCCGGGGUCAACUCGGAGGAAGGUGGGGAUGACGUCAAGUCAUCAUGCCCCUUAUGUCCAGGGCUUCACACAUGCUACAAUGGCCGGUACAAAGGGCUGCGAUGCCGCGAGGUUAAGCGAAUCCUUUUAAAGCCGGUCUCAGUUCGGAUCGGGGUCUGCAACUCGACCCCGUGAAGUCGGAGUCGCUAGUAAUCGCAGA
This 774-nucleotide ribosomal RNA is filed under the name uncultured bacterium. RNAcentral describes it as "bacterial SSU rRNA". It matches the Rfam family "Bacterial small subunit ribosomal RNA", at positions 576 to 1348 of the family's 1533-position model. The record is from RNAcentral.